UAGAUGCGAGAGUAGAGCAUAUCAAUAAGCGGAGGAAAAGAAACUAACUAGGAUUCCCUCAGCAACGGCGAGUGAAGCGGGAAGAGCUCAAAUUUGAAAUCUUCAAGGUUCUACCUUGACGAAUUGUAGUUUAAAGAAGUGUUUUCUGUUGGAGUUUUGGUAAAAGUUCUUUGGAAUAGGACAUCAUAGAGGGUGAGAAUCCCGUAUUUGACCAUUAUUUCCAACUUUGUGAUACACUUUCAAAGAGUCGGAUUGUUUGGGAAUGCAGUCCAAAAUGGGUGGUAAAUUUCAUCUAAAGCUAAAUACUGGCGAGAGACCGAUAGCGAACAAGUACCGUGAGGGAAAGAUGAAAAGAACUUUGAAAAGAGAGUUAAACAGUACGUGAAAUUGUCAAAAGGGAAGCGUUUGACACCAGUGUUGUUUUUCCGAAAAUCAAUUACGAAUGUUUUAUUUUUGAGGAGUUAUGACUUCAUCGGCUUGCUCCUUUCUUUAUGGAACUUUCUUAAUGCACUUUUCGGUUAACAAGUCAACAUCAAUUUCUUUUGUUGUAAAAGGUUAAGAGGAAGGUGGCUUUACUUUCGGGUAAAGUGUUUAUAGCCUUUUAACUCUGCAAUCGGAGAGAUUGAGGUCUGCAGCGUAGAUCCUUCGGGGCUAGAUACACUUUGUGCUAAGUUAUAGCUUUUCAUAGACAACUUGUUGACUAUGUUUAGUCUUGUAGCUUACUCGCAUGCGCUAUUUUACCUACGCUUAGGAUGUUGACGAGACUGUCGAUCUC
This 775-nucleotide ribosomal RNA is filed under the name uncultured Neocallimastigales. Its description in RNAcentral is "partial large subunit ribosomal RNA". It matches the Rfam family "Eukaryotic large subunit ribosomal RNA", at positions 22 to 647 of the family's 3401-position model. The record is from RNAcentral. Lineage: Eukaryota; Fungi; Neocallimastigomycota; Neocallimastigomycetes; Neocallimastigales.